Molecule: ribosomal RNA, 614 nt
Filed under: Syltodinium undulans
Lineage: Eukaryota; Dinophyceae; Gymnodiniales; Gymnodiniaceae
Description: LSU rRNA
Rfam family: Eukaryotic large subunit ribosomal RNA
Source: RNAcentral
ACGGGGGCGUANGUGUAAGCCUCUUGGGAAAGAGAAUCAUUGAGGGUGAGAAUCCCGUUUGUCAUCUACAGUCCUUCGUGCACGGCAUACGUUCUAAGAGUCACGUUCCUCGGGAUUGGAGCGCAAACUGGGUGGUAAAUUUCAUCUCAAGCUAAAUAUGGGUUCGAGACCGAUAGCAAACAAGUACCAUGAGGGAAAGAUGAAAAGGACUUUGAAAAGAGAGUUAAAAGUGCCUGAAUUUGCUGAAAGGAAAGCGGAUGGAACCAGUGGUGUUUGGCGAGAUUGUUGUGUGAUAAAGUGAUUGCCUGCAGCGCUAGCGCAAGCGGUGCUAUUGGUUUUGAAUUGGCCUCAUGCUAUGUUUCUUGCCUAGUGUGUCAUCAUCGGUGUGGUGGUGGGGACAACUCAGUUGGACAUGGUAGCCUGCCUCUGGGUGGGUGAACGUGCCUUGCANAACUCACCGCCACACUGGCUCUUUACUGUGAGGUUGUGUUGCCUCGCUGCCUUUUUCUGUGUCGGCGCUCGCGUGCUUCACGGGUCUCGCUGGCCGGGCACCUUCCUGACAUGGCUAUGUUGACUAAAUGGUUCCAUUCGACCCGUCUUGAAACACGGGACCA